AUUACUAAGGCCAGGAUUUUUUAAUUUAUUGGUUUACGGAUCCGCCGACCCGAUUUUGCUGAUUUCCAGAAUAAAAAUAAAAUUCACUUUUCACGCUUUUUUAUUCCCCCGACCUUAACAAAUGCAUUAUCCCUGAAAAAUAAUUAAAAUAUUUUUUUUCCUGAAAUGAAAUGCAUUAAUCACUAACAAAAUUGACAACCAUUUCUGGUGUGAAAAAAAACACCUUCCAGUUUACGUUUCUAAAUAUAGACAAAUGAAUUAUAACUGACCUUGAAAUGUCGUUUGCGCAAAUAAUUUUGCGGAACGAAACUUGUGUUUAAAACCAAUUACACAAUAAGUUCGUUUACCUUAUUUGUCAUCAGUCCGUAAGAUGCAUCAUCUCAUAGAAAUAGACUUGUCCAAAUGUGGACAGGGUGAAGGCAUCAAAUUAAAGAACUGAAUAUUAACAAAUCAUUAGGAAUUUUCUUGUUUUUAUAGGUAAUAAAAAAAAUGUCGUUCAUUUGGAUAAAAAAACGGGAAUGCAAGACAACAGAUUAACCCGAUAUCGUUUUUCCAGUGGACGAUUCUAUUAGGUUUUUGACACGUGUGACUGUUGAAACUUAUUUUCGUACGACGUUUAUGCAUUUUUUCUUUAUCAGUUUUCGUGCUUGAAGAUCAUUAUUUACCAAGUUUUCUGGAAUUGAUUAAGAGCUACGCGAAUCUAUUUUUCUUGUUUCUGAAAUGAUGAUUUAAUUUUGUCUUUGUCCGUGCAUCCCCUUUUUUUUACUGUAAAUUACUAGACAAUGUCAUGCGUAGUUUAUAACAGCUGAGCAAUAAUAUUUCAUCGAACUAAAAUGAUGAUAAAAUAGCAUAACAAACAUAUUGCUAGAAAGGUGAAAUAUAUAUUGAUUUUGCAUAUUUUUUUGUCUUCAAAGAUGAUUGUUUUUCUUUUUUUUUUCCCGACCGACCGACCCGACUUUUUCAUGGGGAAAAUCUGUAAACCAAC
RNAcentral lists this long non-coding RNA (985 nucleotides) under Mytilus galloprovincialis (Mediterranean mussel). The record is from RNAcentral. Lineage: Eukaryota; Metazoa; Mollusca; Bivalvia; Mytilida; Mytilidae.